CGCACAUUGCGCCCUCUGGUAUUCCGGAGGGCAUGCCUGUUCGAGCGUCAUUAUCACCCCUCAAGCCCGGCUUGUUGUUGGACGUCGGCGGCGGCACACCCGCUCCCGCCCGUCUCAAAGGUAAUGACGGCGUCUGUGAGGACUCCUGUACACUGAGCUUUCGGGCACGUACUAGGCUAGAACUCCAGACCCGGUCGCCGUCCCCGCCCGCGGGGACAAAAACUUUUUUCACAAGGUUGACCUCGGAUCAGGUAGGAAUACCCGCUGAACUUAA
Molecule: unclassified non-coding RNA, 274 nt
Filed under: Chaetothyriales sp.
Lineage: Eukaryota; Fungi; Ascomycota; Eurotiomycetes; Chaetothyriales
Description: partial contains 5.8S ribosomal RNA, internal transcribed spacer 2, and large subunit ribosomal RNA
Source: RNAcentral